UGCCUUUUAAUUGGUGCGUUUAUGCCACUGACUUUCACAGUGCUUACUGAUAGAGUGACUGCCAUAUCUAGCUGCUUCUGGGGCUUCCAGGGCGGCAGGCAGGCAGCUCCUGGGGCUUGCGGGGCCGGUGUGCCUGCGGCCCGGGACUGGAUCAGGUCCCGGGCGGCAGGCAGGCGGCUUCUGGAGUCGUCCACGGGGGCCUGGACGGUGGCUUGCGCUGGCGGCUCAUGCGGUCCUGCCCUGCCGGCAGCAUGCAAAUUAGCCUCCAUCUUUGUUGGUGGUUAAUUUGCAUAUCUUGCUGAUUAGCCAAUGGGAGGUGUAGCAAAGGUAUGGUCAAUUACCAUGUUUGGCUAUUAUUAGAUAGGAUAGGACUAGAGGCCUGGUGCAUGAAAUUCGUGCUGGGGGUGUGUGUCCUUCAGCCUGGCCUGCGCCCUCUUGCAAUCCGGGACCCCUUGGGUAGGGUCCCUAGGCCUGACCAGCAAUCAGGACCUUUCAGUACUUUCCUUCCCUGGCUGCUGGGCUGCUGGCAGCUGGCCCUACCCCUGCCGCUGCCAUUGCUUGCCAUCUGUGCUGCGCUGCCUCCCUCCCCUGCCACUUGUUGCCUCCCUCUGAGGGCGACAGGCGUGGGGUGCAAUGGCUUGGCUGGCCUGGGCCUCUCUCUUUGGAACAACCGUGGAGGCCCACCCCCACCUCACCCCCCAUCAAUCAUCCUGCUGGCCGCGGGCUGGGGCCUCCCUCUGCUGGGUGAUUGUGGGGCAAUGGUGGGGCCCCCAAACCAAUCGCAUUGCACCUGCCUUGGCUGGCCUGGCUCCAGUGCGUGUCAUAGCGUGGUUGUCCAGAAGGUUGUCUGGACGGUCAUUCUGCUGUUUGUUCAUUCAGUCGAUUUGCGUAUUAUGCUUUUAUUAUUAUAGAUUAUCCCAUGUUUUCCUCUAGAACACUUUUUCCUAAAAUGAAAAUGCCUUUGUUUAUUGCAGUUUAUGUAAAUAAUGCAGAAAAAAUAAAAUUAAUUCAAAAUUCUACCCCAAGAGUAAAAAACAAACAAAAAACCUGCUAUGGUUUUAAGUAUAUCCCCCUUCAGACAUCUAUACAUGCACACAUUUUCUUUGUUCUGUUUUCUCUCCAUUUAUUUUACUGUUUUAGGUAUAUACAUUUCAGAGAGGAAGCGAGAAAGAAGCAUCUAUGAUGAGAUAGAAUCAUGGAUCGGCUGCCUCCUGCAGACCCCCCACUGGGGGUGGAGCCCACCACCCCGGCAUGUGCCCUGGAAUCAAACUGUGACCUCCUAGUUCACAGGUCAAUGCUCAACCACUGAGCUACACCGGGCAGGCUAGGUUUCUGAUACGGAUGUAAAACAUGUAAAUUUUCAGCUUUUAUUCCUAAUAUGUGCAUAAAUGAGUGCACAUUUUUCACCAUAUGUUUUGGUAUGUACUAUUAGCAUUUACUUCAAAUUAUUUUCUAACUUGAAUUGUGAUGUAUUUUGGGGUUAUUUAGAAGUGAAUUUGAUAAAUCUUAAAUAUUAGGAGUUUGUAGGUGCCUUCUGUUCCUGAUAUGUAGAUUAACAGCAAUGACAACAAGAAACGUACUGUAUAUAAUUUCAUUUCUUUGAAGUUUGUUGAAACUUGCUUCAUAUCACUGCGUGGUCUCAUCAACUAUAAUUGAAGUGUGCCCCUCUGCUGCCACCUCGUGUUCAACUUGGGAAUAACACCUUCGUGCCUUUCAGCAGUUUUGAAGAGCCGGCCUUGUGUAAUUAUCGGCUGGGACACAGCUAACUUCUGACACCGCUGAAGCCGAGAGAUCAUGGACACCUGCCAGCAAAGAAUGUGAAUCCUUUGAAGUUGCCAUGCCAAGUUCACUAUGUUUGAAAUCUGCUGAGGAAAGAGAAAUGAUCUUUGUUGAAAGUGAAAGGUUUGUACUGUUUUUUUUUUCUUCCACUCACUCCUUGUGCGAAUAUGACGCUACAGAAAUAAGAUUUUUUAAAAAACCACAGGCAUUCCGAAUGAAAAGAUGUUCCUUGGAAUGGAAGUCUGGAGGGAGGAGAGCACCCUAGCCUUGUAAACUUCCUCCCAGGAAGGUGGGAACCCAUGUGUGUCUGCCCGUGUUGGUGAGAGGAUUGCUUUUGGAAAGGCCUGUCCCUGCUUGUCCAGCAGGUGGAGCCAAGACCUAGCUGAGGAGGAAUGUUUGUGUCUUUGUGCUGGAGAGAUUUGCUUGUCAUCCCUACAGGAUGUGAGGCUAGUGAGUGGGCACUGAGGCCAGAGGUCCCCCUUGGUAGCGGCUGUUAUAAAGCGGGGGAGGGUGAUCCUGUGGCUACGUCCUUUUUGUACUGGAACCCGCAUUCUUUUUCCGCCGGAAUUGCAGAAUGAAUUCCCGGAUAGAAAGUGUUGUAGUAAGUGUGGAGAUGUGUUGAAGACGAAGUGCAAACUGCCAAGUAGGGUGGGUGAAAAGGGUCCCACUGGGUUCCUUUCUGUAUGUCCUGUCAAGCGUGCAGAUCGUGGUGCCUGCUAAUCCCUCUGCUGGGUCCAUAUUCCCCUUGGAGUUGAUUAGUGGAGUAAGUCAUGGGCUCCAAGGUUGACCCUCCCAUGGGAACCGUGAGGU
This is a long non-coding RNA of Myotis daubentonii (Daubenton's bat), 2589 nucleotides long. RefSeq lists it as uncharacterized. Lineage: Eukaryota; Metazoa; Chordata; Mammalia; Chiroptera; Vespertilionidae. The record is from RefSeq and is a predicted model, not a curated record. The transcript is spliced from 3 exons.